Molecule: transfer RNA, 71 nt
Filed under: Loxodonta africana (African savanna elephant)
Lineage: Eukaryota; Metazoa; Chordata; Mammalia; Proboscidea; Elephantidae
Rfam family: tRNA
About the family: Transfer RNA (tRNA) molecules are approximately 80 nucleotides in length. Their secondary structure includes four short double-helical elements and three loops (D, anti-codon, and T loops).
Source: Rfam by way of RNAcentral
GCACUGGUGGUUCAGAGGUAGAAUUCUUGCCUUCCAUGCGGGAGACUUGGGUUCGAUUCCCAGCCAAUGCA